UUUCACUAGCCAGUGAGACCCACACAAAGCCAAGUUGGUGUAGACUUAUUAGACAGACUGGAGCAUCCUCAAUAACUGUCAUAUAUAUUAGAUCUGGCAUUGAAAAUUAUAAUCUGUAAUGUGUAUACCAAUCUGUUAUUGGUAGGAGGUUUUAGUUUUUUGUUUUUUUUCUUUGAAAUGGUAGUUCGUGAAAGUCAUAUGUUUUUUGUUUUUACAUCCCUGUUUCUACAGUCUUUGUGGAUGCAUUUAUUUUUACUAUAUGUAAUUAAGGCUCAUUAUGGGUCAUCUACAUUUAUUUAGGUAUAUAAAAAAAAUACAGAAACUUGACACGACCUUAUACUCUCAAGACUUUACUUAUCCAGAAGUGUGUUCAAGACGUUGAACACCAUGGAUGUAAUUAGGA
Molecule: non-coding RNA, 403 nt
Organism: Pelobates cultripes (western spadefoot toad)
Lineage: Eukaryota; Metazoa; Chordata; Amphibia; Anura; Pelobatidae
Source: the annotation of a GenBank genome assembly